Molecule: long non-coding RNA, 4946 nt
Filed under: Sus scrofa (pig)
Lineage: Eukaryota; Metazoa; Chordata; Mammalia; Artiodactyla; Suidae
Description: lncRNA (ENSSSCG00000052401.1)
Source: RNAcentral
GGGCCUUGUGAUCUGGGAUAUGCCGAUAUCCUUCCUCGACUGCGUAAAAACAUCUUCAUCUGGCUGCUUCCAGCAAGGAGGAGGUACAAAGCCAAAGAGGGGCGUUCUCUUGAUUUUGGAGUUAGUAUUUAUUUCUGUCGGAUGUGUUUCUCCUGCUCAUUUACUCAGCUCACUAAAAAGCUGCCAGUUCUGCAGGAGGCUCAGAGGAAGCGACGGCUCUGCAGCCAUUCUGGGCCCUGCACAAGCUGCUUCUCGCUGGGACACACAGAGGAGCCGGUGGGACCCCUGCACAGUGGCUGUGAGGGGGGCUGGGGCUGGUCCUGGAGGCGUGGGCUCCACCCCUCCUGAGCCUGCUCCCGCCUCCUCCCUUCACUCUGCACCCGCGACCUCACGAGGAGUCCCCUGGGACACGUACGCUGGGAAGAUGUUUUAGCCUCAUUUAUAGGUGAUUGUACCCCGGGUGUUGGAAGCAUCCAAGGUGCACAGUUAGCCGUACUCACAGUGGUCCCAUAGGAAGGCAGCAAAGGGAGAGAGCUUCUCAGGAGAUGAGCCGUGAGCAGCGCCCUUGUUUCUCCACUUUGUCAGAGAGAGUCAACUAGAAGUUUGGAGCUGCAUAGACUUUUAAACAAUAAGCAAAAGGUGAGUGGGACAAAGUUGGACAUUUGGUGACAAUGAGAAAGUGUAUGUGAAUAGAUCUCUCAGAAUGCACACACCGAAGAGAAACUCAUGGACAGUAGUCCUAUGGACAGUAGUCAGCCUCUCUUCCUUACCAUGGACCAGGGACCAUGGUGACGAAGACGGUGGCCCUGCCUGUUUAUCAAGACGCAGUCCUGCUACAGCCCCUUCUCAGUGCAGUCUUCCAGGGCAAGGGUCCAACAGUGAGCGCCCUUACGGCCAGCCACCUGGAUGGCACCUCCACUGGAGCGGGACCAAGGAUACAGAUUUGCUUUCCAGUAUUUCUGCCCAAACGACCGUCUGUGGAUUUACUAAAUGCCUUUAUUGCUGUCGUGUUAUUCCUCACUUCACAGGAGCUAAAGCACAGCCGUGGGCUUGUGCUCGUGUAACUCACUGGUCUUGCCGUGUCCCCUUUACCCGGGAAUGUUGGCACUCUCAGGAUGGCGGGGGGCCAGCUGAAAGCUCUGUGGUGCAGCUGAAUGGCGUCCCUUGCGGGGGGCUGGGGUAGAGUCCUCCUGGGUGGGACUUCGCUUUGCGUCCCCAGCUGGUAGCAACUGGCCACGUCCUCCUCAUCGACGUUAUGCCCGUGGAAUGACGGUGAUUAUUUUGAGAAGGCUGCAGUGGGACAGCUGUCCCUCCCUCUCUGACGAUAGUAUGGGGUCGCGUCACUCCUGCAGUUAAGUCUGGGUCUCAGAACUCUGUGUGUUGUGGGGGUAGGUCCUGGGCACGGCUUCGCGCUUUCACGCCACACUUCUGCAGGCUCUGGUCUCUGCAGCCUGGGGCCCUGCUGGCUUGAGGCGUCAUUUACCAAGGGAAGGGCGCUUCUAGGAGACUAUCAGCUGGAAUCUGCCGCUGCAUCUCCUGAGUCAGUGUGUGAAACGGCGCUGGCCGGACAGGUUAGAGGCCUCAGGAGGAAACUGGGUUCCCACAGCGCCGUGCGGCGAGCGUGUCGGAGAUGCUCUUGUCCUGUGGCAAAGUGGAUUGAAGACCACAGUGCCCAGGAUGGCUGGGGCUGGUGGUGGCGCAGGAGGCGGGUGUGGUGGCUCGACACUGUGCCCUGCCAGCUUCUACUCUAAGCAGUGAUGUCCCGAUGGCACCCUGCUGCCCUCUGAGUCCUCCACUGUUUGCACUUCGGCAAGCUGCUGUCCAUCAGUGGCGGAGCACUCAGAGGGCCUGAGGCAGGCCCAGUAUCUGCACACGUGGGAGUUUCCUGAUGGGCAGCCAUGGCCCGAGGACUGCCCGUCACCAGCCAGUCCCACCUGAGCGCUGGGGUCUGCAGCUCCACCGAAGGCCCCCCCGCCUGGCUGCCUCAUAGGGUCCAGCCUGCACCAUGGUCUUGAGCCUCCCUCUGCCUCUUCCCUCUUUCGCCCCGUUUUCUCUUAGAGACAGUUUCCCCAGGAAAUCUCGUGUACAUCUCAUCUUUUUCUGUGACUGUUUCUCUAAGGAUCUAAACCAAUCCAAGAAAUGCCAGGAGCCAGAAGUGGUCCGAGAAUACAGGCAAUAAGCUGUGGCUCUGGGACUUGUUCCCUGGCCACCUCGUGAGCAGAGGGAUGCUCUCCUGAGUGCCGUGCCUUUGCAGGUGUGGUGAUCCGAAAGAUGACAGGGACAAUGAUUUCAACAAGGCCAACAGAGUUGGCGACAUACUAAGUCAAACUGAUGCUUUGAAAAAAAAUAGCGAGAAACCGAGGGCCUUUAACAAAUGACUAUAGACUGUGGGUGACAGCGGGCUCCUUUGGUAGCUAGAAAGACCCUAUUAAUUUCAGCGGCAGGAAGUGGGGGAUGGAUGUUUGAGGGUGUUUGAUCAGAGGAACUGGAAUAUGAAAUGGACUCUGCGAGAAUUCAUUGACAAGAACACCUUGAGGCAUGCAGGACCCUAGGUUAUGGGCACACAUCCUGCUAGGGGAGCUCUUAGCCGGCUGGGAGAGUGAAGAGCACCUCUGGGCAAAGGAGGAAUGUUGGAGCUGCCCUGGGAAGGUGACAGAGAACAGAAUGCAGAAGCUGAGAGGACUGAGAUGCUGGGGUGGAUAACUAACGCGAGGCUGAGAAUCCCGACAGGGCACUGUAUUCCACGAAGGAGCUCAAGGGUACCCAUUCACAGGGCCACCAGGGAUGUGAGGGUCACACAGCACCAGCAUCACUAGGCGGUUCAUUGGUGGGGUUCCUCCACCAGCCAGGACUGAUGAGAGGAGGGGCAGUCAGGCAAUGCAGUCAUGAAACCACCUGAUGGAACCCCUGGCCGUGGGCUCAGCGAUCAUGGACCCAGCACUGCCCUCUGUGCCAAGGCUGACCCUCAGCCCGUUGUUAGAUGGAAGUGGUACCUUGAAGCGCGAGUCCCAGCAGGACCAAAGAGCCUAAGUUUGUUGCCUGAGCUGGGUCCAGACCCCCUUCUCAUCCACAACCAUUGUGCCAGGGCCCCUUCCCGAGCUCGCAUCAGUUCAACCAGCACAAGGACGAGGAAGUAUCCUGAGCUUGGUUUGUAGGUGCACUGGCCCUGUCGAUGAGCACAAGCCAACGUUUAUGAGGGGCUGCCCCACUGCAGAGGUUGCUGGAAGGCAGUGGUCCGCAGACUGGCUGCCAGGGCGCUGGAAGGGAAAAGACUGGAAGGUUGGACACCAGUGUUUGCACCAGGGGCCUGUGGAUGGACAUAGGGGUGUGGCCACAAGUGAGAGGACUUUGGAUCACAUAUUAACAACCAGCAGAAGCAUGUGUCCUAGGAGAAGCCCUGAACAAGCAAGUAGGUAAAUUGUCUCAGCCAGGGGACCCCUGCCAGCUGUCAUCAUCAGCCACACAAGAACCCCACAGGGGUAUACAGAGAGAGCAGGACGGAGAGAUAACACCACGUGUGCACUCAGUGCACGAGCUCCUGCUCUCUGGACUCUUGUAGGUAGUGCCACCUCUGCAUGUCCGCUUGUUUGGAGCAGAGGCUGACGCUGAGUUCCCGGUAUGGCCUGUGCCUCAAGGACACCAGCAUCCAGGUAGCAAGUUGAUGGCGUUCAUCUCCUUCCAAUAGGUCAUCCUUUCCGGAAUGUAUACCCAGGCUGCAUAUCCAGCACCACUACCCGGGGCUGACAGAAGGUGCCGGAAGGGACCCACCACCCCCCAGCAGGGGAGUGCCAUCUGCUGCUGCAGGAUGGAGGGCAGGCGAGAGGCCAGCUCCCCCGAAGGGAGUGGGGGCACAGUUUUCCGCUGGCAUGCACCUGAGCGUGGGAGGCAUGGAGAGAAGUCUUCUGUUGUUAGGUCGUCCUCUUCUCAUCCUUUAGCCUUUCUUGGGGCAUCUUUGGUCUGUGCCUGUUGGCAGGUCUGGACUUUAGGAGCACAGUAAGGAAACCAGGGAGCCCACUGCUGCCGUGUUCCUCACAUCCCAUGGAACUGAGCCAGCUUCCUCCUCCUCCGUUGCAACUUUCAGAGUCUUCUUUCCUUCUUUGUUAUGUCCAGGGAUUUGAGUAGGAGGAGGGAGCGUCUUGGAGGAAUGGGACCACUCUGUUUUGGCAGAGUCAGAAGUCACCCGAAGUAUAAUUUUAUCAUCUUAGUGUCUUCCAAGUUUCAAGUGACUUUGCCUCUUCCAUUCUUGACAUUGGUUAUUGGUUCCUUCUCUUUCUUUUUGUUCGUGGACAAUCUCAUCAGAUUUAUAAUUUUUACAGUGACAUCUUUCUUGUCAUCUGGGGUAUUUGGAAUUGUUUCUUAAUUUGCCAAAUGUGGAGACUUUUCAUUUUUCUUAUUGAUUUACAGUUUAAUUUGAACCGUUGUCAGGAUUUAUAAGCUGUAUGGUGUCAGUUCAUUAUAAUGUGUUGAGUCUUUGUUUAUGGCUCAGCAUCAAGCCAUUGUUUAUAAAUUUUCCACAUGUAGUUGUAAAAAAAUAUGUGUUCUGGGAUUUCCUAUUGUGGUUCAGCAGGUUAAGAACCCAACAUAGAGUCUGUGAGGAUGUGAGUUCGAUCCCUGGCCUCGCUGAGUGGGUUAAGGGACUGGCGUUGCUGCAAGCUGCAGGAUAGGUCACAGAUGUGGCUCGGAUCUGGUAUUGCUGUGGCUGUGGCAUGGCUUCAGCUGCAACUCCAAUUGAACCCCUAGCCUGAGAACUUCCAUAUGCUGCAGGUGUGGCCAUAAAAAAAAUUUUAAAAAUGUAUCCUGUAAGUUUUUUAAGUUUAUAUACUAGUUAUAUAUGUAUAACAAUACUACCCCAUAAAUUAUAGUAUAUAGUCAUAUCAAGACUUCAUGCUUUUUAUCAUUUUGUAUCCUUAUAACUUAAGAAUGCAGCUGACAUAAAAGUUAUUUUC